UGUUGCUGCGUUGGAUUGAUCCC
RNAcentral lists this unclassified non-coding RNA (23 nucleotides) under Mus musculus (house mouse). RNAcentral describes it as "oocyte_clustered_small_RNA8823". Lineage: Eukaryota; Metazoa; Chordata; Mammalia; Rodentia; Muridae. The record is from RNAcentral.